RNAcentral lists this ribosomal RNA (416 nucleotides) under uncultured bacterium. RNAcentral describes it as "bacterial SSU rRNA". It matches the Rfam family "Bacterial small subunit ribosomal RNA", at positions 358 to 773 of the family's 1533-position model. The record is from RNAcentral.
GGAAUCUUGGGCAAUGGGCGCAAGCCUGACCCAGCCACGCCGCGUGGAGGAAGACACCCCUAUGGGGCGUAAACUCCUUUUAUAUGGGAAGAAGGCCCUCUUCUGGAGGGCUUGACGGUACCAUAUGAAUAAGCACCGGCUAACUCCGUGCCAGCAGCCGCGGUAAUACGGAGGGUGCACGCGUUGUCCGGAUUCACUGGGUGUAAAGGGUGUGUAGGCGGGGCGAUAAGUCAGAGGUGAAAGCCCACGGCUCAACCGUGGAACUGCCUUUGAUACUGUCGCUCUUGAGUCCUGGAGAGGUCGCCGGAAUUCGUGGUGUAGCGGUGAAAUGCGUAGAUAUCACGAGGAACAUCAGAGGCGUAGGCGGGUGACUGGACAGGUACUGACGCUGAGGCACGAAAGCGUGGGGAGCAAAC